This is a long non-coding RNA of Oreochromis aureus, 2097 nucleotides long. Lineage: Eukaryota; Metazoa; Chordata; Actinopteri; Cichliformes; Cichlidae. The record is from Ensembl.
GUUUUUUUAAAGUAACGCAAUAGUUACUUUUCAAGUAAUUAAUUACUUUUAGAAUAUUGUAACUCAGUUACUUUUUUGAAGAAGUAACUAGUAACUAUAAUUGAAUUACUUUUUCAAAGUAACUUGCCCAACAAUAUGAGCAAGUGAGUUAAUUUUGUCAGUCAAAGUUAAAUGUAUGUAUGCUCUUAUCUCAGAGGCUGUGAUCCACUGAAAUAAACUGAAGCAGUCUUAUGGAGUUAAUGCAAGGGCUUAGAUUUGGCAUGGACGGAAGGGACAUGUCCCCACCAAUAAUUUGAUCUGUUCAAGUAAAGAAAAACAAACCCGAUAGAAAGAAAAAAACGAUCUCUCAACAUCUCAUUCACCCAGCGGUGCAGAAAGAGUUAAAUUACGUUCUCUACUGGAGUCCUACCUCAUGUAACAAAUAUGGCCAAUGUGAUUGGCUGUGCCUUUCAGGGAGCUCUGUUUAGUUUUAGCAGCGGCAAGCUCCUCUCCUCCUGCGGGGAACUGCAAGGAGGAGAGGAGGAUGGCAGCAAAAAGGAAGAACCUGGAUAUAAGAAAGUAUUCUUCAAAGAAACCUGAGAGACUGGAACAAAUAUGCCAGCAGUUUAUCUCAGUUAACGAGAGGAGAAGACAUGUGUUUGGCUCCUUCACAUAGUGGACAUUGAGUUGUUGUGUGAGGCACCAGUAGUCCAUGUCUGUUGCUGUAACAGUAGUUUAUGUUUAGAAUAAAAAAUCCCAGCUCACUGAUUUGAUCGGGGCAAUAGUGCCUAAAAUGUUGCCUAAUUUUGCUGAGAGAUCUUUUACUUUGUGGUAAUCUUAGAUGAGUAGUUUUAUGGACAAAACCCACCAGGUCAUUCAGUGUUCCCUUAGUGCUAAUGUAUCAGAGAUGUUGGUGUAAUAUAACUGAAGUAAUGUUGUUAAGUCCUUAAAGUCAUAUUCUUUUAUUGUCAUGACUGUAUUUGAAGCUAUUUUUAUUUUUGUAUGAUACCUGAUUUAUAUGGAAUAUGGCUGAAGUAAACUAAAGUCUAAAAUACUUAGUCAGUCAUUUGUUUAAUAGUAAUUUAACAUUAUAUAAUUCACAUAUAAAACUAUGAAUUGUAAUUUUAAAUGGUUUAAAAGCAUGUAGAAGAGCAUAUGUAGGCAAGUAUAUUUCUCCUUUUUUAUCAAGAAGCAAAGACAAAAAGGGAAAAAAAGAAACAGGACAGGGUUCGGUGGUUGAAUCAUCUGUCCCCACCAAUGCCAAAACCAAAUCUAUGCCCUUGAUAACUUACUCUAUAUUUUGUGUUAUAUCUUCUAUUUAUGUCAUCAUAAAAUGUUCCGCUAAUGUUCACUAUGCUAUGCACUAUCAGGAUCUUGAUUAACUUUUUAUUUUAUUUUUUUAUUGAACAAAGCAUUACAAUAAACUGUUCAGGUUUUUUUAGGUUUUAUUUUUUACUGAUAAACUGAAUGAUUUGAACACUUUUGAAUGUUUUAUCUGAUUUUGAAUGAAAGAUUCAAACAAUAAAAAAUGUUUCCAUCUGAUCAUUUAUCUCCUCGCUGUAAUGCUGCUGUGUCUUCGCAGCAGAUAAACAAAGAUGUUGCGUGUAGAGUUUUGAAAAGCAAAUAAAGAUUCUGAUCGAAACUUUGUUUAUGUCUGACUGAUCUGACUGUUUAUGUCUGUGUCAAUGGAAAAUUGUACUUAGUAGUCAGUAUAAGCUUUUAAUGAUAUAAGUUUGCAUAUGAUAGAAUACUGUAUGAUGACCUUUUGAUGACUUAGACUGUUGUCCACUACAGGACUGUUUUAUAAAUUCUUUCUCACAGCUGAAUAAGCUGUUAUUAUUUCACUCCUGCCAGGAAGAGGAAGAGCUGGACACUCUUAUCUGACGCUCCCUAACAAGAAGAGAGGCCGCGUCUUUCUGUAUCCCACAACACACACGCAUACACCUAAACCACUCUUAUCUUCACUCCCUACACACUAACUUUCCUCUGCCUAUGAAUAGACGUAUUCACUGUUGUAUUAUUUUUGCAUAUAAAUAAAGACAAGUGCAAGAACAGAGCGCUGAUCACAGGGCCCCCACUCUGUUGUGAGCGUUCUGUGACCGCCCUUGCAAGUAAAGA